GGUCAGGUUGGGAAACCUGGUGAGUACAUAGGGUUUUCAACCCACAAUAAUAUAAUUAACUUGUUUCUUCACAUAAUACAUGUCAAACAAUUAACCGGAUUACCAUCCUCAUUUUCUUCAUUUGAUAUUCCCUAAAGUAUGACCUUAAGGUUCAUCUCCUAUAUCGUAUGUAUCUCUCAUCUCUUUGCAUCUCAUUUCCUUAUAUGUUCGUUCCUAAGGACUUUUCCUACUGAUCAUCGCCUACAUCACACAGACAAUAAUGGUUUGGGGAUUACUCCCUCAAUACGCACCUAGUAAGGGUUGGAGUAUCAUCGCAUGAAUACGUAGUUACAACAUCGCCUGAACUCGUAAUUCAUAGUAAGGGUUAGAGUAUCAUCACAUGAAUAUGUAGUUACAACAUCGCCUGAACUCGUAAUUCAUAGUAAGGGUUAGAGUAUCAUCACAUGAAUAUGUAGUUACAACAUCGCCUGAAAUCGUAAUUCAUCACCUACAGGUUGUGAGUCUGCUGGUGUUUCCACGGGUUUGUUUAUAAUAGUCCGUGGUCGCCAUCUAUACUCUGUUAGAUGACUACAUCUGCAAAUUACCGGACAAGGUUAUAGUAUAUUUCAUCCUACAUCACCGAUUCAUCAUCACCUUUCCAUCACCUAAUUAUCAUCACCUUCCUAUCAUCACGAAUCUCUCAUCAUUUUAUUUCAUCACACACCAACUAUUUCAUCUACCCAUGUUUUAUCCCAACAUAUUUGUAGAUAUAAACUAAAUAUAUAUUUAAAUCAUUUAAAACAUGUAUAAAAUCAUUCAUCCAUCAUAGACAGCAAGUAUUCAGAUAAUAUGCACACAUAACACGUAAUUUAUAUAAAAUACUUCAUAUCUAUGUGUAAAAUGAAAGUGACCAUGCACCCACUUGAUAAGGUGGUGACUCGGUACUCGAACAGCGCUUCGUUUACUUUAAAAUAAUUUCCUUUGACGAAACAGGCGGAUUUUAGCUAGGAGUCAGGCUCUGCAGGGGCAGAACUUCGUCGCUUGUGACAUCCCCAUUUUCACGGCCAGAAAAGACCGAUUUUGUUUAUGCUUUAUAAAAAUCAGAGUACCUUUUUUAAUAAAAAUGUUGCGGAAAUUGUUCCCAGUAAAAUAUGAUAAAUACGUUAUCAAAGCACUUCCAAAGAAAAGUUUUUUUAUUAAUUUUAAAACAUUUGGGAUGUUAUCGUCAAUACAAAAACAUAAGCAUAAACAGAACUUACAUUCAUUAUCACUAGUGAUUUAUAUCUCCUUAAUCUCUCAGUGUAAUGUGACUUCAUAUCAACACCUGUGAUAUAAAUAAACUGAGGGGGUCAGGUUGGGAAACCUGGUGAGUACAUAAGGAUUUCAAUCCCACAAUGUUAUACCAUAUAUAUAGUUUAAAACUCACAAAAUAUACAAUUUCACCAUAUAUAUAAACAACUCUUAUCCUGCCCCGUUGAUCCUUACAACGAGACUAUCCAUACUCUCGGACCUUAAAUUUUACCUCUUACUUAACCCAUAAUCUCGGAUCUAAUUCCUGCUCUCUGAUUAAUAAUUGUGCCCAUUCCAUACUCUCAGAUUAGGGACAAGUAUCUAUGUGUAAAUCCAUUCUCCCGGAUUAACGACGAAUGACUAUGUCCUAUCCAUACUCCCGGACUGAGGACGACUGACUAUAUCUUAACCCAUACUCUCGGACUAAGGACAAUUGACUAUGUCUUAAUCCAUGCUCCCGGAUUAAUGACAGUUGACUAUGUCCAAUCCAUACUCUCGGACUAGGGACAAUGACUGUGUCUAAUCCAUGCUCCCGGAUCA
Molecule: long non-coding RNA, 1809 nt
Filed under: Lactuca sativa (garden lettuce)
Lineage: Eukaryota; Viridiplantae; Streptophyta; Magnoliopsida; Asterales; Asteraceae
Description: long non-coding RNA (LSAT_LNC000727)
Source: RNAcentral